This 510-nucleotide ribosomal RNA is filed under the name uncultured bacterium. RNAcentral describes it as "bacterial SSU rRNA". It matches the Rfam family "Bacterial small subunit ribosomal RNA", at positions 15 to 518 of the family's 1533-position model. The record is from RNAcentral.
GAUCCUGGCUCAGAUUGAACGCUGGCGGCAGGCUUAACACAUGCAAGUCGAGCGGGGAUAGGGUGCUUGCACCUGAUUCCUAGCGGCGGACGGGUGAGUAAUGCUUAGGAAUCUGCCUAUUAGUGGGGGACAACGUUCCGAAAGGGACGCUAAUACCGCAUACGUCCUACGGGAGAAAGCAGGGGAUCUUCGGACCUUGCGCUAAUAGAUGAGCCUAAGUCGGAUUAGCUAGUUGGUGGGGUAAAGGCCUACCAAGGCGACGAUCUGUAGCGGGUCUGAGAGGAUGAUCCGCCACACCGGGACUGAGACACGGCCCAGACUCCUACGGGAGGCAGCAGUGGGGAAUAUUGGACAAUGGGGGCAACCCUGAUCCAGCCAUGCCGCGUGUGUGAAGAAGGCCUUUUGGUUGUAAAGCACUUUAAGCGAGGAGGAGGCUUACCUGGUUAAUACCUGGGAUAAGUGGACGUUACUCGCAGAAUAAGCACCGGCUAACUCUGUGCCAGCCGCAGC